Schistosoma rodhaini is the source of this 45-nucleotide non-coding RNA. The record is from Rfam. Lineage: Eukaryota; Metazoa; Platyhelminthes; Trematoda; Strigeidida; Schistosomatidae.
AUCCAGCUGACGAGUCCCAAAUGGGAGGAAACGCGCAUCCUGAAU